UCCCAGUUAGUACAAUGGUUAGUAUAGGGCACUCUCAGACACCCUACGAAUUUACGCGUCGGGUUUUCACUGCUCAGAUCAGGGUUCGAUUCCCUGGCCGGGAA
Molecule: non-coding RNA, 104 nt
Organism: Melanopsichium pennsylvanicum
Lineage: Eukaryota; Fungi; Basidiomycota; Ustilaginomycetes; Ustilaginales
Source: the annotation of a GenBank genome assembly